AUGCCCAAGUGCAAAGGCGGGAUGGGUUUCAGAGACACACAUUUAUUCAGUCUUGCCAUGUUGGGGAAACAUGGAUGGCGUUUUCUCACGAACCCUAACUCCCUUUGUGCAAGUGUAUUGAAGGGACGGUAUUUUCCAGACACGGAUUUUAUGCAUGCAGCCUUACCCAAGUCGGCUUCGGCCACUUGGAAAGCUAUUAUAGCAGGAAGAGAAGCCCUUCGAACCGGCUUGAUCUCCCGUGUUGGAGAUGGCGCUACUUGUGACGCCCCCGAUUCAAUCGUACACUAA
This 288-nucleotide ribosomal RNA is filed under the name Triticum aestivum (bread wheat). RNAcentral's name for it is "partial small subunit ribosomal RNA". The record is from RNAcentral. Lineage: Eukaryota; Viridiplantae; Streptophyta; Magnoliopsida; Poales; Poaceae.